GGGAAGGAUAUUGAGAAUAAUUGAGGAUUUGAAGGGAGGAAAAGAGGGGUAUCUCUGAGACUACGACGACACGGAUCGUGCAUGGGCGGAACAUUGUCUACGCGAAGAGAUUCUUCUGAGGGAGCUAUGUGAGGAAGGUUCUGUUAACUCAGCGAAUACUGAGAAAUUUCAAUUGUAAAGUGAAAUAGUAAUUAUUGUUGAAUAAUUGGUGGAUGUUAUUUGAAGUUUCCAGUGAGAUUGCUUCUUCAUCUUCCAAGUGUUCGCUCUUAAAACCGAGGAAGAACGAACGGAGGAACUUAACGGAGCACGAAUACUCCCAUGUUCAGCCGGUUGCCGGUCUUAAAGGGAGUUUCCUUGGCUCCAGCCGAG
This is a long non-coding RNA of Nomia melanderi (Alkali bee), 369 nucleotides long. RefSeq lists it as uncharacterized. Lineage: Eukaryota; Metazoa; Arthropoda; Insecta; Hymenoptera; Halictidae. The record is from RefSeq and is a predicted model, not a curated record.